UCCACUCUCUCCUUUUCCCCCUUGCGCCCACCUGUUCUGCUCCCGCUCUAUUUAAACGCCCCGACCCGCCCCCGUCUUCCCUCGCUCUGCACAUCAACCACCCACCCCGACUCUCCUCAAGUCUGAACAGGCUCCUCUGCUCCGUCUUCAAAAGUUCGAUCGACCGUUUCCUGCUCCUCGCUCGCAGCUAGCUCUCCGGCCAUGGCCUUCAAUUCCCCCUUCGACUGCCUCCUCAUCGGUAAUCAAUCAAGCUGACGACAUGUACCUUUCUUCUUGGUUCCGACGAUCACCAUCUGAUGAGUUCCUCUGCUCUGCUCCGUGAACUGAAUCAAGACCUCGACGACACGCUNNNNN
This 354-nucleotide long non-coding RNA is filed under the name Hordeum vulgare. RNAcentral describes it as "long non-coding RNA (HVUL_LNC008549)". Lineage: Eukaryota; Viridiplantae; Streptophyta; Magnoliopsida; Poales; Poaceae. The record is from RNAcentral.